This 1737-nucleotide ribosomal RNA is filed under the name human gut metagenome. RNAcentral describes it as "bacterial LSU rRNA". It matches the Rfam family "Bacterial large subunit ribosomal RNA", at positions 1 to 2004 of the family's 2925-position model. The record is from RNAcentral.
GAAAGUAAGAAAGGGCGCAUGGCGGAUGCCUUGGCUCAUGGAGGCGAUGAAGGACGUGAUAAGCUGCGAUAAGCUUCGGGUAGAUGCAAAUAAUCUUUGAUCCGAAGAUUUCCGAAUGGGACAACCUAGCGUGUUGAAGACACGUUACUCUUGCUAAUCAAGAGAGCUAACGCAGGGAACUGAAACAUCUUAGUACCUGUAGGAAGAGAAAAUAAUUUAAUGAUUUCCCUAGUAGUGGCGAGCGAACGGGAAGUAGCCCAAACCUAUGACGUAGCAAUGCGCCAUAGGGGUUGUAGGACCACGACAUUGUAUUAAGUCAAUCGAGAAGAAUAUUCUGGAAAGAAUAACCAUAGAGGGUGAUAGUCCUGUACUCGAAGUGCGACUUAGCAUAGUGGUAUCCUGAGUACCGCGGAACACGUGUAAUUCUGCGCGAAUCAGCCGGGCCCAUCCGGUAAGGCUAAAUACUCCCAUGAGACCGAUAGUGAACGAGUACUGUGAAGGAAAGGGCGUUGAAAAGCUUCUGGAUGAGGUGAGUGUAGGAGUGAAAGGCCAAUCAAACUUGGAGAUAGCUCGUACUCCCCGAAAGGCAUUUAGGUGCCGCGUGCUACGAUUAGCAUAAGAGGUAGAGCGACCGAUAGGUCAAGAGGGCUUCACCGCCUAUUGCGACCUGACGAACUCCGAAUGCUUAUGUUUUGCAGUAGUGCAGUAAGGGGGCGGGUGCUAAGGUCCGUCCCCGAGAGGAGAAGAAUCCAGACCGUCAUCUAAGGUCCCGAAAUUCUGUCUAAGUUAGUCUAACGAAGUGUGGUCCCCGUGACAGCUAGGAUGUUGGCUUGGAAGCAGCCAUUCAUUCAAAGAGUGCGUAACAGCUCACUAGUCGAGGGUCCGUGCAUGGAUAAUAAUCGGGUAUUAAGUCAGAUACCGAAGGUGCGGGAUAGUAUUGUAUAUAAAAAGUAUCGGUAGGGGAGCAUUCCAUCGGCGCAGAAUAUAGACCGUAAGGUUUGUUGGAGCUUAUGGAAAAGCAAAUGUAGGUAUAAGUAACGAUAAAAAGGGUUAGAUUCCCUUUCGCCGAAAGACCGAGGUUUCCCGGGCGAUGCCAAUCAGCCCGGGGUUAGUCGAGUCCUAAGUCUCAUCCGAACGGAGCAGGCGAUGGCAGAUGAGGUUAAUAUUCCUCAACUUGCUUAUAUAGUGAAGUGGAGACGGAGCAGUGACACUGUCGCGUCCUGACGGACAUGGACGUUUAAUAUUUUAGGCAUUGAUAGGUGCAGGCAAAUCCACACCUUGAGCUGAGAAUAGAAAGUACAACCUUCUCUUCGGAGAAAGUUGAUAGUACAGGUAAUCAUACUCCCGAGAAAAUCCGCUAGCGUUAAUAUUUAAGCAACUCGUACCGCAAACGGACACACGUGGUCGGGUAGAAUAUACUAAGGCGUUGAGAGAUUCAUGGUUAAGGAACUAGGCAAAUUGACCCUGUAACUUCGGGAUAAAGGGUCCUCGUAUUUAGCUAUACGAGGCGCAGAGAAUAGGUCCAGGCAACUGUUUAACAAAAACACAGGGCUGUGCUAACUCGAAAGAUGAUGUAUACAGCCUGACACCUGCCCGGUGCUGGAAGGUUAAGAGGAGAGCUUAGAUGUAAAUCGACGGUUUGAAUUGAAGCCCCAGUAAACGGCGGCCGUAACUAUAACGGUCCUAAGGUAGCGAAAUUCCUUGUCGGGUAAGUUCCGACCUGCACGAAUGGUGUAA